UACACGCAUGACACACUGCAUAUCAAUAAGCGGAGGAAAAGAAACUAACAAGGAUUCCCCUAGUAACGGCGAGUGAAGCGGGAAGAGCUCAAAUUUGAAAUCUUAAAAGGCUUCCCUUUACGAAUUGUAGUUUAAAGAAGUGUUUUCUGUUGGAGUUUCGGUAAAAGUUCUUUGGAAUAGGACAUCAUAGAGGGUGAGAAUCCCGUAUUUGACCGUUACUUUCCAGCUGUGUGAUACACUUUCAAAGAGUCGGAUUGUUUGGGAAUGCAGUCCAAAAUGGGUGGUAAAUUUCAUCUAAAGCUAAAUAUUGGCGAGAGACCGAUAGCGAACAAGUACCGUGAGGGAAAGAUGAAAAGAACUUUGAAAAGAGAGUUAAACAGUACGUGAAAUUGUCAAAAGGGAAGCGUUUGACACCAGUGUUGUUUUUCCGAAAAUCAAUUAAGAAUGGCCGGAUUUUAAGUUUCAUGACCUUAAAAGCUUGUUUCUUAUUUUUCUUGUCUUUCUUAAUAGCACUUUUCGGUUAACAAGUCAACAUCAAUUUCUUUUGUUGUAAAAGGUUAAGAGGAAGGUGGCUUUACUUUCGGGUAAAGUGUUUAUAGCCUUUUAACUCUGCAAUCGGAGAGAUUGAGGUCUGCAGCGUAGAUCCUUCGGGGCUAGAUACGUUUGUGCUAAGUUAUAGCUUUUCAUAGACAACUUGUUGACUAUGUUUAGUCUUGUAGCUUACUCGCAUGCGCUAUUUUACCUACGCUUAGGAUGUUGAACUACUGAGACAUAGA
RNAcentral lists this ribosomal RNA (776 nucleotides) under uncultured Neocallimastigales. RNAcentral's name for it is "partial large subunit ribosomal RNA". It matches the Rfam family "Eukaryotic large subunit ribosomal RNA", at positions 22 to 632 of the family's 3401-position model. The record is from RNAcentral. Lineage: Eukaryota; Fungi; Neocallimastigomycota; Neocallimastigomycetes; Neocallimastigales.